Non-coding RNA from Roseovarius sp. 22II1-1F6A, 93 nucleotides. NCBI's taxonomy places the organism in Bacteria, Pseudomonadati, Pseudomonadota, Alphaproteobacteria, Rhodobacterales, Roseobacteraceae. The record is from Rfam.
GGUUCGGGAGCUGCCGGUGGGACGGUAUGCAGGAAUUGGACCUCAAACCCCCUUCAUUCGUGAGCGGUGCGGCCUUUCCCGCAGGCCUGCAUG